Molecule: long non-coding RNA, 3617 nt
Organism: Mirounga angustirostris (Northern elephant seal)
Lineage: Eukaryota; Metazoa; Chordata; Mammalia; Carnivora; Phocidae
Exons: 4
Source: RefSeq, a predicted model, not a curated record
GGAAUGCGGUCCCUCCCCUUUUCUCCUCUUCCACCCCCUUGCUACAGCGCUAGAUGCAGAGCUGGACCUCCGCAAAACGGUGAAGCGGAAGAAAUUUGGGUCCGCCCAUCUGUCUUUACUGCACUGCGUCCCCCCUCAUCUGCUUUCUGAUCUCUCUUUCGGAUUUUUGUCUCUCUUUGUUUCCCCCCUCAACACAAACGCGGGAGCACACGUACACGCUGUGCGAAAGACGCCAGCCAUAGCCUCUUAAGACUGAAAGGUUAUCCAACCCCAUCCUCCCACUGCUGCUUGAACAAUGUGCUUAACGCGUAGUGCCGCAAUCACUGCAUAGGUUGCACAUGCUCAAGCACAGAUUUUAUGGCCUUGUUACUCAGAAGGCUGCUGGCUUCUGGCCCUGCCUCGACAGUUCCUAAAGAGGUCACAAAUUCUAAGUUUCAGAAGCUGACUGAUAGGCCCAUGGCCCGAUAUGGAAUCUUCUGGGAUGAAAUAACUAAAAAUGAUAAAAUUUCAGGUCCUCUUGGUGGCUUCUGUGAUAGAGAGAGACGCAGCGAGAGAGAGAGAACACAAGCAGGGGGAGUGGGAGAGGAAGAAGCAGGCUUCCCACUGAGCAGGGAGCCCGAUGUGGGGCUUGAUCCCAGGACCCUGGGAUCAUGACCUGAGCCGAAGGCAGACGCUUAACGACUGAGCCACCCAGGCACCCCCUGGAUAUUGUGUUUUAGUCUAUGAAUAUCUGUCAGCUGUAGUCCAAACAGGCUUGAAUCAAAUCUCUCCCAAGGCAACAGAAGCAAAGCCUAUGAAAUGGGAUUACAAAUUUAAGCCUCCUGAAGUUUCCAUGGAAAUGCCUAGUCCUUGUCUUUCCUCAAGAUCACAUCGAGGCAGUGGUAUGUUAGCAAACUGGCACUCCAGGGAAAAAAAAGUUCUUAACAUGUAGUGUUUGCUGAUUUUUAUGGUGUGAAUACUCUCACUAUGACCAAUUUCAAGCUACUAAUAAUUUAACAACCUGCUCAUAAAAUUCCUGAUUAUCCAUUGGCUGUCAUGCACAGAACUAGGUAUCUUCAAUCCCACUGAGUCCACAUCUCUACACUUCCUUGAUAGGGCCUCUUCUCACUCUCUUGUUGUGGAGUUUGUUCUAUCAGUCCUCAGGUUGAUUUCUUGGGUAUUCAGAAUGAUUUGAAAGUUAUCUUGUUGUGUUUGAGAGAUGAUAUGAGCCUAGGGUUCUCCUACUAUGCUGCCAUCUUAGUUUCCCCACUGUUUACCAAUUUUUAAAUGCAUUUCUACUGUGUAUGAAUUUUCUUGGUGUCCUUCUUCUGAAAAUGUCUUUACUUCCCCUUCACUCUUAAAGGAUAUUUUCACUGUAUAUAGGAUUCUGGAUUCAAAGUUCUUUUCUUUCAGCAGUUGAAAAAUGUAAGCCACUUCCAUCUGGCCUCUAUGGUUUAUGAUUAGAAAUGCACAGUCAUUUGAAUCAUUAUUCACCUAAGGUAAAACAUUUUUUUCUAACCAUUCCAAGAUUUCUUUUUUGUCUUUAGUUUUUAACAGUUUGAUUAUGACAUGUCUGGAAAUGUGUUUCUUUGGGUUUACCUCUUUAGGGUUCACUGAUCUUGAAUCUGCAGGCUUAUGCCUUUUGACAAACUUUAAAACUUUAGAGCCUUUAUUUUUUAAUUUUUCAGCCAUGCUCUCUCCUCUCUUUUUAAGACUCCAAUGAUAGGUAUGUUAGAUCUUUUGUCAUUGUCACACAGGUCCCUGAGGCAUUCAGGGACUGUUUAUGCUGUUUUUCAAAUUGGAUCAUUUCUAUUGAUUUAUCUUAUCAAACUUAUCAAAGUUUGCUGACUUUGUUUCUCUUUUAUCUCAAUUAUACUAUUCAGUCCUUCCAGGGAGUUUUUAAUUAGAUUAUUGUAAUUUUUCCAUUCUAGCAUUUUUAUUUGGGUUUUCAUUACCACUUCUAUCUAUUUACUGAUACUUUCUACAUUAAACUUUGUUUCAAGUAUGUUCAUAAUUGCUCAAUCAAAUGCUUUUUAUGACAGUUCUUUAAGUGUUUAUCAUAUAUUUCCAGCGUCUGUGUCAUCCCUUUGUUGUUAGCUGUUUGUCUUUUCCCAUGAAAGUUAAGGUAUCUGUGGUUCUGUGUAUGUCAAAGUAAUUGGGGUUUUACUCUGAACAGUUUGAGUGUUAUGUCAUGAGACUUUGGAUCUGGUUAAAUUUUAUAAACAAUAUUAAUAUUUUUGUUUUAGCAGGCACUCAGUUUGGUUAGGUCAAGCUGCAAGUUUCAACCUGCCCUCUGUGGGCUGUAGUUCCACUAUCAGUUCAGUUUUCUAAACCUUUGCAGUGCUAUUUGGAUUUGUUUCACACGUGUACUACCUAGUAGUUAUUCUGGGACCUGGACAGUGGUCUAUCAGGUAGCAAAAUUCUCAAAGUCUUUGGUAGGCUAAUUAUGAUCAAAUCUAAGCAUUUGAAAGUUGGAGGUGAUCUGAAAAGUUCAUAAACAGCUUUAUGGAGACACUUCCCAAGAAUAAGUUCUUUGCCAUCUUCCUAGUACUUUUUGGUUUCCUGGGGCUCUCCUUUUCUGUCCUCCAGAUAGAAAUUACCCACUUCUGUGACUAUGUCACUUCACCCCAGAAGUGACAUAGAACAGAGAGAGAGUUAAAACAAAAAAGAGGGUCACCUGGGUAGCUCAAUCCGUUGAACAUCCAACUCUUGAUUUCGGCUCAGGUAAUGAUCUCAGGGUCGUGAGAUCGAGCCCUGCUUCAGAAAGAGGUGUUUCUCCCUGCACUUUUGGAGUUGUAGCUUGCGACCCCUUCUGCUGUAGGAUUGCCCUGGGGGCUGAGGCUCAAGAGCACCAAAAAACUGCUAGAACUGAUACACAAAUUCAGUAAAUUUACAGUGUAUAAAAUCAACACACAAAAAUCUGAUGCAUUUCUAUACACCAAUAAUGAAGCAACAGAAAGAGAAAUUAAGAAAGCAAUCCCAUUUAUAAUUGCAUCAAAAAUAAUAAAAUACCCAGAAAUAAACUUAACCAAGGAAAUGAAAGACUUGUAUUCCAAAAAGUAUAAAACAUUGAUGAAAGAAAUUGAAGAUAACACAAAUAUUGUUAAAAUGUCCAUACUACCCAAAGCAAUCCACAGAUUUAAUGCAAUCCCUAUCAAAAUACCAAUGGCAUUUUUCACAGAACUAGAACAAACAAUCCUCAAAUUCACAUGGAACCACAAAAGACCCUGAAUGGCCAGAGCAAUUCUGAAAAAGCAAAGCAAAGCUGGAGGCAUCACAAUUCCAGACCUCAAGUUAUAUUACAGAGCUGUACUAAUCAAAACAGUAUGGUAAUGACACAAAAAUAGACACACAGAUCAGUGGAACAGAAUAAAAAAUCCAGAAGCAAGCCCACAACUAUAUGGUCAAUUAAUCUUUGACAAAGCAGGAAAGAAUAUCCAUUGGAUAAAAGACAGUCUCUUCAACAAAUGAUGUUGGCAAAACUGGACAGCGACAUGCAAAAGAAUGAAACUGGACCAUUUUCUUACACCAUACACAAAAACACCUGUGUUUUUUGCUUCAGUUUGACAUGAUUAUAUGAUCUUCUUUAGCCUGUUAAUAUGCUGAAUUACAUUUACUGAUUUUUGAAUGUUGAACCA